CAUCUAUCUAGAACAGCGACGGGGUAGGCUCCACGGGUUUCCACGGGGAAGGAGCAGCGACGGGGUAGGCUCCAGGCGGCGCACACUUCAUGGGGAGGCAAGGAACCAGAAGUUGAUGGGGUCGGAUCUGGCGGUGGUAGGUCGAAGCUCGAUCCCGAGGCCGAGACGGGGAAGGUCAAAAAAUAGAGAGACCCGAUGGAGGUGGUCGAGGCAGAGGACUGCCAGUCGGCGAGCUCGAGCUUGAGACGCACAAUUAGCGUCACCGGCCAUUGUAUGGGUUGGAGCAGGAAGCAGCGCUCCCGUCGCUAUGUGGUGGAGCUGCGCAGGAUGGGGAGCAGGCUGGCGACAGGGAUUGGUUCUUCAGUUCAUUUGCUGCAGGACUGAAUGUUCUAUGGGUUGGAGCAGAGGGUGUUGAGCAGCAUCUGAGAUUGGGUGAGUGCUCAGGUUCUAUAACUGACUCUUCUUCGAGUAUGGCUGUAGUAAUUCAAAGAAAAACAAAUAGCAUGCAGAUUUGCUUGUUUCAUCUAAAUCAAGGAAUUUUAUAAUGUGCAAAUCAACAUCAUACAGUAUACAACAGCGAACGGAGAUACUAACCACACGAUCUCAUUACGUGUUGCACGCGAGAUCGCAGGGUGCAGCUUGAUAGCGCCGGCAUGGAUGCGUGUUAACCAUAGCGUUGACGGCAAUCUCCCCCCUCCCGAACUGCCCUAGGCGCAGCAGCGACGGCGCAGCCACGAUUGCUGGAAGUCUCCUCCACGUUCGAUCUCGAUAAACUGACUGUCAUUCCCCACGCCACUCUCGCAUGGUUCAAUGGAAUUUAAAUUUCGAGUGCUACAAUCAACCCGUUUGCCUGUUUGCACAUCUGUAUUUCGGUUAUAAAAAUUGACUCGUCCUUUUAGUUCGUUAUUACUCAAGUCACUGCAGCACUGACCUUCUAUUAGGUAUACACACACCAAAAUUUCCAUGCCACUAGAAAUAUUUGCAUUCGUUUAAUGGGUCGAGUCACACAGAAGGUUGAACUUUCAAUGCUUUUUACUCAGCAUAAACGUAUUUUCUGUAGUCGAAGACUUUUGACAAUGCGUGGAAUCUGGCAAAUCGUUUUCAGUUUUGAGUUCAUCUGAGUCAGGCUCUGUAUCAAAUUUUCUUCAGUGUAGCAUUCAUUUGAGUUGGAUUUUGUAUUGGUUUAUAUUUUGUGGUAGAAUAUCCCAUAUCGUGUACUCUGGGACCAGGUCUAUUUCAACACACACGAACCCAUUGACCUCCCAUGUUCCUGGGGAGCGUUGCAUGUCGGAAAAGUUAGGGGUUGCGUCACACAAAGUUCUGCAUUGACACUUAGAAAGUAAGUGAAGUGAUAUGCAAUUUGCUGAGGCUAUCUACAAUCCUGUUAAAAAGCAACUGCUAAACACUGAAGGGCAAUGGAACUCAAUUUGUGGAUAUUCGCAGUUUGAUAAAUUAUAUUAGUGGUAUUUCUUGGAUUUAUAUAAGGAAAACUAAAAUAGCUACCUUUGUGUGAAUUACAGUGCUAAUGAUCAGUUCUUUGUCUCAGGCAUGAAUGUACAGAUUCAAGAUUUUCUUUCACCUGGGCUUGGUCAGUUGGCCACUUCAAUUCCCACUUCCUGUCAUGUGAUCUUGAUGUGGAUACUUCGACAUUACAUACAAAAUAUGAUGCAUUCUGUAGAAGUUACUAAUGGUCAAAAUUUUACUGAAUCCGUCACUUGCUUACUCCUAUUCACAUUUCAGCCUCCUUGCAUGGUAGAGCAUAGCAUGGUUCCUGAUGUUCCAUUCUAACUACCUAAUAUUUUUAGGACACUGGUGUUAAUUUGGUUUUUUUGGGAAAUGGAAUGCCUAAGAUGCACUGUCCUUUUGUUCCAAAAAUAACCGCAAAAUCAUUGACACAUUGUUGUGUGUUUUAUGACAUCUGUUGUUUAUAUCUUCAAGUGACUAACUUCAAGUUGAAGUCGAGAUUGCUUACUGAUCACAUGCUUCAGGCAGUAGUAAUUACAAUCUUUAUCUCUGUUUGAGAAGCAAAGAUGAAUUAUUUUGAACUUCGGAUUAGUUGAGUUAGGAGCUAUAUGUACCAGUUUUGUCUGAUCAACCACGAGUUCUAUUGUAAUCCUUUCUGAUACAUUUUUUAGAUUUUUGUAUCCAGCUGAAUCUUUGUGUUCCGCCGUGGCCGUGAUAUCUCAUGCGUUAUCAUCUAGCUGAAUCUUUAUUUACAAUGUCGUGAUAUCUCAUGCGUUAUCAUUCAUUCAUUCUUAUUUUAGGUGAUGCGUUGACCUGAACGGCAUGGUGGUAAGGCAUCAUAAUAGGUGCUGCUAUUGGCCAGAAUGGCGCCGUGGUAAGGCAUUCUAAGGUUCCAUAUGAUUAGUGUUUGGGUGACUGCUGUUGAUUCCUACACCGAGUUGUGUUGCUGUACAAAUAGCCUCUCUUGUUGGUGGUGCCACGGCGUCCCUUCUAGGUUCAGCAGCGGGCAAUGCUAAAGACAGAGUUGGGUGCACAUCAUAUAUAUACAUAUGUUGUCGCGUCUUAAUAAAGGGAGAUGAGCAGAAGUAGAGAUGAGAUAUCUAUCCGACUGUCAUCGUUCCCAGACUUGGGGCACCAUAACUCUAACCCGACAUGAGCAGUGCAACCACGGCAGUGAGCAGUGGAAUCGCAAGAUAGAGAUAGACACAAGUAGAAUAUAACUGGUCAUAUUUCUACAAUGACCACACUACUUAUGGUGCCGGAAGAGAAGGCAUCAGUGAUAGUGGGCUUGGUGAUGAGGGCAUCAAUACAAAGAGAUUAAUUCACAACUCUGUUCUUGAUAGGUUGUACAAAUAUACAAGGCCAGUUUUACAUUUACUUUUUCAAUAAUGAGAUGGCCAUGAACAGAGAUCAAGUUUUUUGCCUUGGCAUUACUGCUGUUGUGUACAGAUGGUUACUAAAAGAAGGAUUCAUAGCGGCAUACCUUCACUCGACAGAUGCUUUAACCGCAAGAACUGUUGUUAAUUUUUUCCCCUUUCCUCCAAUGAUGGUAGUUCUCCUUUGAUUCUAGAAGCCACAAAGGAGUGAAGGGUAGAGUUGUUGAAUUGGCGAUAUGUCCACAUCAUGUCCACAUCGUUGUUGAAUUGGUGGGAUUGUCACCAAGUUAGUGUUGCAGAUUGUUUCUAUUUUAGAGCAAGAAGCCAAAUCAUGUUGUUCAUUGUAAAUUUUGAAAAACCUGUUGUGUAUUGUCACUUCUAUAUCUAUUAUAAACUUACGUUCCUGGUGUGGUACU
This is a non-coding RNA of Aegilops tauschii subsp. strangulata, 3256 nucleotides long. The record is from RefSeq and is a predicted model, not a curated record. Lineage: Eukaryota; Viridiplantae; Streptophyta; Magnoliopsida; Poales; Poaceae.